RNAcentral lists this ribosomal RNA (164 nucleotides) under Kageneckia oblonga. Its description in RNAcentral is "5.8S ribosomal RNA". It matches the Rfam family "5.8S ribosomal RNA". From Rfam's summary of the family: 5.8S ribosomal RNA (5.8S rRNA) is a component of the large subunit of the eukaryotic ribosome. Lineage: Eukaryota; Viridiplantae; Streptophyta; Magnoliopsida; Rosales; Rosaceae. The record is from RNAcentral.
CGGCAACGGAUAUCUCGGCUCUCGCAUCGAUGAAGAACGUAGCGAAAUGCGAUACUUGGUGUGAAUUGCAGAAUCCCGUGAACCAUCGAGUCUUUGAACGCAAGUUGCGCCCGAAGCCAUUAGGCCGAGGGCACGCCUGCCUAGGCGUCACACCCCGUUGCCCC